Molecule: ribosomal RNA, 449 nt
Filed under: uncultured bacterium
Lineage: Bacteria
Description: bacterial SSU rRNA
Rfam family: Bacterial small subunit ribosomal RNA
Source: RNAcentral
GGACCAGACUCCUACGGGAGGCAGCAGUGGGGGAUAUUGCACAAUGGGGGGAACCCUGAUGCAGCGACGCCGCGUGGGUGAAGAAGCGCCUCGGCGCGUAAAGCCCUGUCAGCAGGGAAGAAAAUGACGGUACCUGAAGAAGAAGUCCCGGCUAACUACGUGCCAGCAGCCGCGGUAAUACGUAGGGGGCAAGCGUUAUCCGGAUUUACUGGGUGUAAAGGGGGCGCAGACGGCGAUGCAAGCCAGGAGUGAAAGUCCGGGGCCCAACCCCGGGACUGCUCUUGGAACUGCGUGGCUGGAGUGCAGGAGGGGCAGGCGGAAUUCCUGGUGUAGCGGUGAAAUGCGUAGAUAUCAGGAGGAACACCGGUGGCGAAGGCGGCCUGCUGGACUGCAACUGACGUUGAGGCCCGAAAGCGUGGGGAGCAACCAGGAUUAGAUACCCGCGUACU